This 1665-nucleotide small RNA is filed under the name Pongo abelii (Sumatran orangutan). RNAcentral describes it as "processed transcript". The record is from RNAcentral. Lineage: Eukaryota; Metazoa; Chordata; Mammalia; Primates; Hominidae.
AGGAGAAAGACUUAAAAUUGUUCUAACAUGGGUUCUCCAACUUCUGAAAUUCAUCCAGAAACUCCCUGUAUUUGGGUAACAGUAUUAUAACUUUUCGCACCAGGGCUUGUUUAUUUGUUAAUAUUAAUUGAUUUUUCUUAUGUUCUUUAUGAAAGAAUAACUCAUCCAUUAAUGAAACCAAAUGUGAACUUAGUGCCUUCUAUGUAGAAAAGGCUAGGAAUACAUAUUGUGGGAGAUUCAUUACAUCACUGGCCUUAAUACUACACCUUCUCAUGUUCCCCCUUGGCUGUGUAACUUUCUAGUGUCCAUAUGCUCUCUCUUGGGCUUGAUCAAUGUGACUUGCUUUGGCCAAUGGGAUAUUAGCAACCAUGACAUAACCCGAGGCUUAUAAAGUUGCCUGCUCAUUGGGGCUUGUUCUCACUGUUGCAUCCCAGUUAUUCACAUCACUCCAGCUGACAGCCAGCCAACAAACUACCAGACACGUGAGCCCAACCAAGAGCAGAAGAACCGUCCCACAGAGCCUAGUCUAAAUUGCCAACAUGCAAAUGCAUGACCACAGCAAAGUAAUCUUACAGCCCAGGACUCAGCUGCUGCAAUCUCUGUGAAAGGUUCUGCUCAUGAAACAUGGACAACCAUGUGUGGUGCCUGCAUUCUUGGCCUGUGGGGAGUGGCAAGGAGACAAAGAGUAAAACAGGGUGGGAAAGAAAAAAAAGAGGUGAAGAAAAGCAAAUGUGCCUACUCCAGGUAAUUUUGACUUAGGAACCCUGAUUAACUUAUGCACUAAUUAAACCAUUUCAAGAUUUUUUACAGUCUGAAAGUAGGCCAUUUUCCCCAACACCAGGUCACUCAAGAUGACCACAGGAAGGUUGUCAUCUCCAUGUCUAAAAGCCAGUUGAUACUCAAGGAUGUCAUUUCACUUGAGUGAAAUGAGAAGCUUCACAGAUGUGUAGACUCUGAAAAAUCCAACUGGAAAACAAAACAGGGAAAUAGCAAUCCUAGGCAUCAAAGCAGCAAAAAACUACUCAAUUACCUGGUAUGGGCAUUAUCAGUGGAAUAAAUAUGGGGUUUACUGCUUGUUGUUGGGAUUGUUGUGGGUUUUGUUCCAUUUUUUAGGGUCUCACUUUUCUCCACCAAUUAGAUCUGUGCUGUGAGCCACACAGGUUUUGAGUACUUGUUUUGGGACUUUAUAUUGGUCAGCUUUUGCCAUGGUAACACUGUGUAACAAGCAUCUCAAAAACUUCAGUGGUGGUCAAAAGCAAAUCUUUAUUUCUCAUUCAUGGGUUUUCAGUUUGUUCAGGCUAAAAGUAAAAUACACAGAUUCUCCACCUGUCUUUCAUUCCAUGCUGAAGGAGCAAUUGACUGCCUGGGACAUACUUUUCUCAUAACAGAGGCCAGAGUGAAAAACACCAAGUCAUCUUGAUUAUGCAAUCCCAUUUUGAAUGUAAACAAUGUCAUGUCUGCUUCUAUUUCAUUGACCAAAGCAAGUCAUAUAGGCAAGCCCAACAUCAGUGGGGUGAUAAAGCACACUCUCCAAUGGAAGGAGGAGGGGAGUACGAGUAUUUGCUGAACAAUAAUGCAGGAUAGCACAAGACUUGUCUGGGGUGAGAGGGAGAUCAAAGCUCUGGCUCCCACCCAGUCUUCCACCAAAGCAAUGUGACUUUGACU